Helianthus annuus (common sunflower) is the source of this 306-nucleotide long non-coding RNA. RefSeq lists it as uncharacterized. The record is from RefSeq and is a predicted model, not a curated record. NCBI's taxonomy places the organism in Eukaryota, Viridiplantae, Streptophyta, Magnoliopsida, Asterales, Asteraceae. The transcript has 3 exons.
AGCUCUCAAAACUCAACCCUAAACUUCAAGAAAUUCACCAAAUUGAAGGGUGAAUCAGAGCCAAAUCGUAUGCAUGAACACAUAAAAACAAUCACCAAGCUUAUGGGAUCAUAAGUUUGACGCUUAACGAGCUAGGUGGAGGCUUGAGAAAGAAGCGGUUAAACGAAUCAAGCGCGUGAAGAAAGGCGUAAACCGGAUGAGAGGAUCAAUUGGCGAAUCGGAUAAAUGCGUCGCCAUAGAUUGAGUGACAAUUAAAGCAAGGUACAAAACCGGGUCUAUUUGUUGUCCCGAGCCAGGUACGUAUAA